This is a long non-coding RNA of Myotis daubentonii (Daubenton's bat), 1637 nucleotides long. RefSeq lists it as uncharacterized. NCBI's taxonomy places the organism in Eukaryota, Metazoa, Chordata, Mammalia, Chiroptera, Vespertilionidae. The record is from RefSeq and is a predicted model, not a curated record.
CCCCUAAAGUCCUUCCGGCUGGAGCCGGGGCCGGUCGGUCUCCGCAGCCCGGGGCUGUGGCCGGACCGGCAGGGAGGCCGGGAGCUGGAGUCCGGGCGGGGAAGGCGGAACUAGCGUGGAUGAGUCAAGGGUGGCGAGGGAGACAAGUCUGCGGAGAAGGAAAAAGUCUGGAGUGAGAAGAUACCGCUGGAGGCCGAGAGAGACUUCUGGGAAAAGGCUGAGAAGGGGUGGCCAGAGAAGUAAAGGAGCCAGGAGAGUGAGCAGGGGCACAGAAGCCAAGAGAGUGGCGUGUCAAGGACUGAGUGAAGAGCACUGUCAAAUGUGCAGAGAGGUGAAGCAAGACAAGGAUGGAGAACAGCUUUGAGGCAUGAGUAGAGAAGACAGGACUGUUCAAGGACUCCUCAAUGAGUGAAGCAUUUACUACCAAACAAAGAAAAUGCAAACUGCCCAGGUCUGUAUCAUUUUUAGUCAUUUUUUAUAGUAGGGUUCUAUAUAAGAUUUCUUAUGAAAAAUGUUUGAAUAUCACUGCUUUGGGUUUAUUCUACUUCCCUCUGGCAUUUCUCCCCUCCCCGCUGCAUUUCUCCUUAAUUGCUAAAAGGGAGAAAGGUCUUCUUUCCUUGAAGGAGCCCUGGGCUAACACAGCCUGUACUUACUGACUUGCACUCACAAUGAGCUUUCUUUCCUGACUUAGAAGCUAGGGGAUGGUUGCCCUGCUGCUGGCGGAUCCUGUUCUUCCAUCCUCGAUAAGACUGGAUAUCUGGGCAUCAGACUUCCUUAAUUUGGACUGGCUGUGACCUCCAUUCUCCAUCCCUGCAGUUACCUGGAAAACCACCUUAGCACCAUGUAGAAGGAAAAGACGUCUGGAACCAAAACAAUAGUCCUAUCCAUUACAUGGGGGUUGAGGGGCUUGGGGGAAGACACCCAGUUCCAGCCCUGGGGUUCCUCCGCCUCUGGAAAAUCUGACCUGCCCCUUUCUUUAAAGUGCACUUACCAGAUGGGGAUAUUAUAGAAGGAACUCUUUGCUAAAAAAAAAAAGUUUAAGUGUAUAUUGGGGAAAAGGCAGGCUCCAGCUUGAAAGAAAGGCAUCGCAAGGUAGACAUUUUGCCAAUGAACUGGAAGCCCCCAAACCAAAAGCUGGAGAUGGGAAGAAACGCAUCCCAAUAUGGGGCAGAGAAAGGAACCCAGCUCAUCACCAUGGCAAAAGUACUCAGGAAUUUCCCAGCCUGCUCACCCUCAACCCAAAGAAGCACUCAUCUGACUAUGCUUGCCUGCAAAUAUCAUCGUGGACAGAUGACCAACUAUUUGACUGUCAGAAGCGUCUGCCUCCUCAACCUUUCAAAAUAUUUCAAAGCACUGUAGGUUCUGGUCAGGAACUCUGGGAUCCAGAAUAUCAAAAGUUUUGAGGAAAAAGGGAAGUGGUCCCUUGAGCAGUCUCUGUUCUUAGUCAUCCAGGAGAGAACAGGAAGAGGGAGGCAAAAGGCAGACCUCAAAGGGCAGAGGUGCGUACCUGGAAUCCCUCAAUUCGAGUGAAGGGUGUAUGAAGAAAAUUCUACAUAUAAUUUAGUAGUCCUCCCACCUUACACCCCCCCCCAUGCUAUAUGUGAAAGAGGAGGGAGGAAGAAGAGUCUAUUUCUGUA